CCUACGGGGGGCAGCAGUGGGGAAUAUUGGGCAAUGGGCGAAAGCCUGACCCAGCCAUGCCGCGUGAGUGAUGAAGGCCUUCGGGUCGUAAAGCUCUGUGGGGAGGGACGAAACCGUCGGGCGCUAACAUCGCCCGGCGCUGACGGUACCUCCUUAGCAAGCACCGGCUAACUCCGUGCCAGCAGCCGCGGUAAUACGGAGGGUGCAAACGUUGCUCGGAAUCAUUGGGCGUAAAGCGCACGUAGGCGGUUCUCUAAGUCGGAUGUGAAAGCCCUCGGCUCAACCGAGGAAGUGCAUUCGAUACUGGGGAGCUUGAAUAUGGAAGAGGGUCGCGGAAUUCCCGGUGUAGAGGUGAAAUUCGUAGAUAUCGGGAGGAACACCAGUGGCGAAGGCGGCGACCUGGGCCAAUAUUGACGCUGAGGUGCGAAAGCGUGGGGAGCAAACAGGAUUAGAUACCCCUGUAGUC
This 466-nucleotide ribosomal RNA is filed under the name uncultured bacterium. RNAcentral's name for it is "bacterial SSU rRNA". It matches the Rfam family "Bacterial small subunit ribosomal RNA", at positions 338 to 795 of the family's 1533-position model. The record is from RNAcentral.